RNAcentral lists this ribosomal RNA (474 nucleotides) under uncultured bacterium. RNAcentral describes it as "bacterial SSU rRNA". It matches the Rfam family "Bacterial small subunit ribosomal RNA", at positions 28 to 532 of the family's 1533-position model. The record is from RNAcentral.
GAUGAACGCUGGCGGCGUGCCUAACACAUGCAAGUCGAGCGAUUCUCUUCGGAGAAGAGCGGCGGACGGGUGAGUAACGCGUGGGUAACCUGCCCUGUACACACGGAUAACAUACCGAAAGGUAUGCUAAUACGAGAUAAUAUACUUUUAUCACAUGGUAGAAGUAUCAAAGCUUUUGCGGUACAGGAUGGACCCGCGUCUGAUUAGCUAGUUGGUAAGGUAACGGCUUACCAAGGCGACGAUCAGUAGCCGACCUGAGAGGGUGAUCGGCCACAUUGGAACUGAGACACGGUCCAAACUCCUACGGGAGGCAGCAGUGGGGAAUAUUGCACAAUGGGCGAAAGCCUGAUGCAGCAACGCCGCGUGAGUGAUGAAGGCCUUCGGUCGUAAGCUCUGUCCUCAAGAAGAUAAUGACGGUACUUGAGGAGGAAGCCCGGCUAACUACGUGCCAGCAGCCGCGGUAACUAGUCUACG